Molecule: ribosomal RNA, 429 nt
Filed under: Chloroflexota bacterium
Lineage: Bacteria; Bacillati; Chloroflexota
Description: Chloroflexi bacterium partial 16S ribosomal RNA
Rfam family: Bacterial small subunit ribosomal RNA
Source: RNAcentral
UGGGGAAUAUUGCACAAUGGGCGCAAGCCUGAUGCAGCCAUGCCGCGUGUAUGAAGAAGGCCUUCGGGUUGUAAAGUACUUUCAGUCGGGAGGAAGGUGUCAAGGUUAAUAACCUUGGCAAUUGACGUUACCGACAGAAGAAGCACCGGCUAACUCCGUGCCAGCAGCCGCGGUAAUACGGAGGGUGCAAGCGUUAAUCGGAAUUACUGGGCGUAAAGCGCACGCAGGCGGUUGAUUGAGUCAGAUGUGAAAUCCCCGGGCUUAACCCGGGAAUUGCAUCUGAUACUGGUCAGCUAGAGUCUUGUAGAGGGGGGUAGAAUUCCAUGUGGAGCGGUGAAAUGCGUAGAGAUGUGGAGGAAUACCGGUGGCGAAGGCGGCCCCCUGGACAAAGACUGACGCUCAGGUGCGAAAGCGUGGGGAGCAAACAGG